UUUAUUGGAGAGUUUGAUCCUGGCUCAGGAUGAACGCUGGCGGCGUGCCUAAUACAUGCAAGUCGAGCGAAUGGAUUAAGAGCUUGCUCUUAUGAAGUUAGCGGCGGACGGGUGAGUAACACGUGGGUAACCUGCCCAUAAGACUGGGAUAACUCCGGGAAACCGGGGCUAAUACCGGAUAACAUUUUGAACUGCAUGGUUCGAAAUUGAAAGGCGGCUUCGGCUGUCACUUAUGGAUGGACCCGCGUCGCAUUAGCUAGUUGGUGAGGU
RNAcentral lists this ribosomal RNA (270 nucleotides) under Bacillus thuringiensis. Its description in RNAcentral is "partial 16S ribosomal RNA". It matches the Rfam family "Bacterial small subunit ribosomal RNA", at positions 1 to 258 of the family's 1533-position model. Lineage: Bacteria; Bacillati; Bacillota; Bacilli; Caryophanales; Bacillaceae. The record is from RNAcentral.